This is a long non-coding RNA of Dendronephthya gigantea, 354 nucleotides long. RefSeq lists it as uncharacterized. The transcript has 2 exons. NCBI's taxonomy places the organism in Eukaryota, Metazoa, Cnidaria, Anthozoa, Malacalcyonacea, Nephtheidae. The record is from RefSeq and is a predicted model, not a curated record.
AUACUAGAAAAAUGUCACCCUGCUGUAAUGAGACAGCUGACUAUCUUGAAGAGAGAUAUGAAAAAUACAUCAAGUCGUGUCCCAUUUUGGAAGGAAAAUGCAAAUGCAAUUUCCAAGAUCAAAGAGUAGAUGGUUUUGCCAACGGUGACAUGUCCAACCCAGUAUCAUGGACGAAGCCAAAUAUUUCAUGCACACAUAAAUAUCAACUUCAUCAACUCAAAGUGGUACCAAACCUAAGAUCACCACACAGCUUCUCUGAGGGUUUAAAUAAAAUCGAGUAUGUAUUUAAACUUUAUGGAGGACUGGAGAAAUCGUGUAUAAUUAUGGUCUAUAUUCACACCUGUGAUUCUAAAA